Molecule: ribosomal RNA, 114 nt
Filed under: Acanthosepion pharaonis
Lineage: Eukaryota; Metazoa; Mollusca; Cephalopoda; Sepiida; Sepiidae
Source: RNAcentral
UUACGGUCAAAUCACGCUGAAACACCGGUUCUCGUUCGAUCACCGAAGUUAAGCAUCGUAGAGCCAGGUCAGUGCUUAGAUGGGGGACCGCUUGGGAACACCUGGUACUGUAAG